RNAcentral lists this ribosomal RNA (119 nucleotides) under Salmo salar (Atlantic salmon). Lineage: Eukaryota; Metazoa; Chordata; Actinopteri; Salmoniformes; Salmonidae. The record is from RNAcentral.
GCUUAAGGCCAUAUCAGCCUGGGUACGCCCGAUCUCGUCUGAUCUCGGAAGCUAAGCAGGGUCGGGCCUGGUUAGUACUUGGAUGGGAGACAGCCUGGGAAUACCAGGUGCUGUAAGCA